Molecule: long non-coding RNA, 654 nt
Filed under: Papio anubis (olive baboon)
Lineage: Eukaryota; Metazoa; Chordata; Mammalia; Primates; Cercopithecidae
Description: lncRNA (ENSPANG00000042255.1)
Source: RNAcentral
CCCAAAUUUCAUUUUGAAUUGUAAUCCCUGUGUCUCAAGGGAGGAUCCUGGUGGGAGGUGAUUGAAUUAUGGGAGUGGUUUACCCUAUUCUGUUCUACUAAUAGUGAGUGAGUCUCAGGAGAUCUGAUGGUUUUAAAAGUGGCAGUUUUUCUUGUGCACGCUCUCUCUCUCACCUGCCGGCAUGUAAGAAGUGCCUUACAUCUUGAUUUUUUUUUCUUCCUUGGUGGACUUUUUAUAGCCUACGAGGAGCUGGUGGGCUUUGAAUUUUCAAGCUAUGCCCACAAUCAUUGUUAUCACUGCAAUAAGAGUUGCAAAAGUUGGACACAUGGAUGAGACAGAGAUCUGAUUAAUGAAAAUAACUUUAUUUUAGAGGGAAGUGGACUGUAAAUGGAAUUCUAAAAAUUCCAUCCUACCUUCCAGGAGAUGUGGGUUACCUCUAAACUUAAGCAAAACUCCACUACAGACCUGGAUGUGGUCGUGCCUGUGGAGGCAGAAGGGCUGUGGGGAGUUUUCAUUCAGCAGCCUAGUCUGGGGAAAGAUGAAGAUUCAAUAAAGAAUGUGUAUACCAUAUUGGAUACUUCAGCUCAACUGUGUAGGCUGAGGAGGAGGAGAAAAAGGAAUGCAUCUAGAUGUCUCCGAGGUGGCAAAGGCUGA